RNAcentral lists this ribosomal RNA (468 nucleotides) under uncultured bacterium. RNAcentral's name for it is "partial 16S ribosomal RNA". It matches the Rfam family "Bacterial small subunit ribosomal RNA", at positions 28 to 507 of the family's 1533-position model. The record is from RNAcentral.
GACGAACGCUGGCGGCGUGCUUAACACAUGCAAGUCGAACGGAAAGACCCUGCUUUUGUGGGGUGCUCGAGUGGCGAACGGGUGAGUAACACGUGAGUAACCUGCCCUUGACUUUGGGAUAACUUCAGGAAACUGGGGCUAAUACCGGAUAGGAUCUCCUGCUGCAUGGUGGGGGUUGGAAAGUUUCGGCGGUUGGGGAUGGACUCGCGGCUUAUCAGCUUGUUGGUGGGGUAGUGGCUUACCAAGGCUUUGACGGGUAGCCGGCCUGAGAGGGUGACCGGCCACAUUGGGACUGAGAUACGGACCAGACUCCUACGGGAGGCAGCAGUGGGGAAUAUUGCACAAUGGGCGGAAGCCUGAUGCAGCAACGCCGCGUGCGGGAUGACGGCCUUCGGGUUGUAAACCGCUUUCGCCUGUGACGAAGCGUGAGUGACGGUAAUGGGUAAAGAAGCACCGGCUAACUACGUG